This 253-nucleotide ribosomal RNA is filed under the name uncultured bacterium. RNAcentral's name for it is "partial 16S ribosomal RNA". It matches the Rfam family "Bacterial small subunit ribosomal RNA", at positions 524 to 776 of the family's 1533-position model. The record is from RNAcentral.
UACGGAAGGGGCAAGCGUUGUUCGGAAUCAUUGGGCGUAAAGGGCGCGUAGGUGGUUCUGUAUGUCUACCGUGAAAGCAUACAGCUCAACUGUAUUUUGUCGGUAGAAACUGCAGGACUUGAGGCUGGGAGGGGCUGGUGGAAUUCCCGGUGUAGCAGUGAAAUGCGUAGAUAUCGUGAGGAAGACCAGUGGCGAAGGCGGAUCUCUGGACAGCUCCUGACGCUGAGGCGCGAAGGCUAGGGGAGCAAACGGG